This is a long non-coding RNA of Biomphalaria glabrata, 3792 nucleotides long. RefSeq lists it as uncharacterized. NCBI's taxonomy places the organism in Eukaryota, Metazoa, Mollusca, Gastropoda, Planorbidae. The transcript has 6 exons. The record is from RefSeq and is a predicted model, not a curated record.
UCAUCUUCUUUUUUGAAGUAACGUCGAAUCUGUUUUUAUAAGAUAAUUUUAAGGUUGAUGAGAGGCAAAGUUCUAAAGCGUGUUUUAACUGUUUUUGAUCUUCGUGAUCCAUGAAACAUUUUUUUUUAUUUUUAAAAUCAUAAAGCAAAAUUAGAGUUAAUUAGACUAAUUAUAUAUAUAGAUAUAGAGUUGAAAGCACUUAGUUAAAGCGAUGAAAAUGAACCACGACCACGGGAAAUAGUCGAACUUGGUUAACAUCUUUCUUUGUCAUCGUCAAGGAAUUAAAUUCAUCACUUCAAGGAUAAAAAAAUAGCUAGAUUUGCCUGAAAAGAUCCAAUCCUUCACAAUAAAACUAUAGUUAACUAUAGCUAUCGGUGGCGUGGCCAGCACAACUACCAACCGCCUUUACUUUUCCCCAACUAAUGACUACAUAAUAUAUGCCAGGAACCCAUUAAAUUAGAGCUAGUGGACUCAGAGGCGCCCUAAAGAUCCCUAAAGUAAAAAUCCCAGUCUUCAUCAGAAUUCGAGACUGGGAGCCCUGGUUGGGAAGCCAAUUAUUUUUGCUUUAAAUAAAUGGUUACUUAUAAUUUAAAGAUAAAAUAAAGGGAGGAUAUAAUAGAAUAUACUUAAUAUUUUAUGUUAUUGUUUUUUUGUAUUUUUUUAGAUUCCCCCAAAAAAGCAAAAAUGUCCACCCCCAUGACAGUCUCCCCUGUAUAUAUAGCUAUGAAUGUAUUGGAAAACACAGAUUAUCAAAACCAAAAUGGGAUUGCAUCACCAUUUGCUGGAUCUGGUUUGAACCAGAUUACAGUUCAAGGUGGACCUUCUUUGAAAACUCUGUCAGGCAAGAACUCUAUUGAUGAUCAAACUGAACGUGUUCUAGACAGAAUGGAAAAAAAGAUUGAUAAACUUUUCUUUCUAUUGGAAACCGUCAGGGAGGAUUUGUCUGCAGUGCAGGCGCAACUACAAAUGAAAGACAUAUGGAAGAGAUGCAAAGUAAUUCUAUCAAAAUUAAAUAUGCAGCACUUUUUCCAGUGGCUGAUAAUACAAAAUCACUUCUAGAGAUAGAAGUGAAGCUUAAAGAUGAAGAGUUUAGAAAUUUUUUGAAUCAGACUUUUUUCCACUUGGGUGGUCUAUCUGGUGAGGAUAGCAUCAGAAGAAUGCUUAAAUAUUUAAUGACGGAUACCCUGGCCAUGGAGUAUAAUCUGACUGGAUAUGGCUCAAAACAAUUAAGGAAACUAUGCUAGACUCUAUCCAAUUUAAGUGAGUUACCCAACUCUGUCAAAAAAAGAAGCGGAGAAGGUAAUUGGAACUUGGCUGUUAAAUGCCCAUGACCGUAAUGGAGGUCGCGAAAAAAGAAGGAUAUAACAAGUAUUUCAAUGAGUUCAACAAUGUUAGACAAAGACGAACAAUGUUAAUAGGCUAGAGCAGCUAAUUGAAAAAAAUAAAUUUUGUGGGGGGGUUAUUAUUUUUUUUUUAAUUUACAUUACUUCUGCAAUUAACUGUAUAUCUGGUGUUGGCCAUACAGAGUUUUUUUUGGUUCUCCAUAAAAUCUAAGCUUGUUAGCCGUUACUUUCUUUUAAAAAGGUAUAUAUAUAUAUUUAUUUAUUAUGGCUUAAUAAGUAUUUGCUUUAUUAUAUUUUGCAAUGCUAGUGUUGGUAUUUUUCUUAAGUUAUGUUUCUCACUUUGUAAAUUCAAUGUUUUAAUGUAUGGUUUUAGAAUUUAGGAAUGUAUAUGGCUGACAUUCCAUAAACUUAAUACUGGUACCGUACCUCGUUUUAUUAUUUAUUUUGGUAAUUUCUGUGUAUAGCAUAUUCUAAGAUUCUCAAAUUUUUAAAAAUUAUUUAAUGAUUGUCAGAACUCGUUUGCUUUUAAAUUUAUGACAUCUAUCAGGCCAGAUUGGUGGGGAUUAUUCUUAACUUCAUGAAUAUCAUCUCAUAUGCUUCUCUGUUGGCUAUACAAGCUUCUUGGUACAUUAAAAAAUCUAAAAUUAUUACUCAUUUUAUUUAGAAUAUAUUACGAUUGUAUUUAUAUAUAUUUUUUUUUUAAUUUGUAUAUGUAAGCACUGGUAUUUAGGAAAAAUUUUUGUUUCUAAUCUAUUUCAUUUUAAGAGAGUUUUUUGUUAUUACAAUUAAUACAUAAAUAUUAAUGGGUUUACUUACUUAAGUGUACAUAUUGAUACAUUCCACAAACUCUUUUGUCCUGUUUUUGUGUAAACAAAUAUGAAAUCAAUCUUUUUAAAAAAUGUAUAUAUAUUUUGUAUGGUGUAAUAAGAACUCUCUUUUUUUUUAAACCAUUGGUACUUUUAUAAAAUUAUGUUAUGUCAUUUAUUUUAUUUUAUGCAAUUAAUUUAUUUGAACAAUGAAUGUUGAAAUGUAUGGUUUCAAAAUUUUAGUUUAUAUUGCUUAUAUUCCAUAUACUUAAUGCUGGUAUCUAUGGUGCCAUACAGGAUGAAACAGGGUGGAGGACACGCACUAACCAUGAGUUAUAUCAAUUAUAUGAAGACCCACCAAUAGUGAACGAAAUAAAAAAGAACAGACUACGUUGGGCAGGUCACCUUGAAAGAAUGUCAGACAACAGAGGGGCGAAAAUCGUAUACAGGCAAAAACCAAAAGGCAGGCGACCCAAAGGCAGACCCCGAAUGCGAUGGAUAGAUGACGUGGAAGCAGAUCUGAAGCAGCUUGGGGUUAGGGCGUGGAGACGAAAGGCCCAGGAGAGAUCUGAAUGGAAGGAUGUGUUAAAGCAGGCCAGAGCCCUCCAUGGGCUGUAGCGCCACUGGGAUGGAUGGAUGAAUGCUGGUAACUUGUUUAGAUUUGAUUAAUAAUCUUAGAUGGACAAUUUUUUAUUCAAAUAAUUUCCAUGAUUGUCAGAACAGUUUGCUUUUCAACUUAAUUUACAUACAGUAGGCUUAUACUUUGUUUAGACAAUUCUCAGUUGCAAUAUAAUUGCAUAGGUUUCUAUGUAAGCUCUUCAAGCUUUUGUACAAGCUUUUGUACAUAAUACAAUUAAAUAAGGGUGGUAUAUUUUAUGAUACAAUAAAUACUUACUUUAUAAAUAAAAGCACCCAUAUUUCUAACUUAUUUCAUUUUAAGCUAUUUGUUAUUACAACUUAUAUCCAAGUGUAUAAAUUUUCAUAUUUCACUGUACAUAUUGUUUAACAUUCCAUCUACUCAAUAUUUUUUUUUGUUACUUUAAUUUUCUUUGUACAUACGUACAAAGCUAAGGUAGUCUUUUUUUGCUUUUGUUUUCAUGAUUUUCAGAACUGUUUGCUUUGAAAUGUAAUUACAUACAGCAGACUUAUACUUUGUGUAGAUAAUUCUGAAAAAUGUUCUGUAAACAUUUUAAUGUUAUCAUUCACAACUACUCUUUUUUAUAGACAAUGUAUUUUCCAUAAUAUACUAUAUUUCCAUAAUAUUGUUGAACCGAGACCGAUAGUUACAGAAGGCCUGAACACUUACUUGCGACAUUGCAACCCAUAGGUAGUUUAGACCAAUAGCUCAUUACCAUGUUACAGGUUGUGACGUCAGACCUGUGAUGUGGCAGCAUGUUAUUAGACUGGACUGCCCACAGGUAGUGACAUCACUAGUCAGUGUUGAUGCCUUCUCUUGGUUGAAUCCAUUAUAACCGAUAAAAUUUUGCUAUUGGUUUUACCUUUUCAUAAAUCUUUUCUUUUUAGUGUACCAUUAAAGGUACCGGUAGAUAAUUUCUUCUGGUAUUUUUAUUUGUUAUAUUUAAUAGGUUCUGACAUUAAUAUUUUAUGAUGCAAUAAACGAUGAAUUUCAACUAGUAAAUUUA